Molecule: non-coding RNA, 859 nt
Organism: Peromyscus maniculatus bairdii (prairie deer mouse)
Lineage: Eukaryota; Metazoa; Chordata; Mammalia; Rodentia; Cricetidae
Source: RefSeq, a predicted model, not a curated record
UCAGUCUUCCCACCUAGCUCGCUCCGAGGCUCCCGCCGGAGACGCCUGGGAGCCAGCAGAAGACAGCGACCUCCGCCUCCUCCGUGUCCAGCGUACACAGCCUCCCCGCUGCUUCCAGCAUAGUCGGAAGGAAGGAAACCUGGAUCAGCCGAGCCAGCGAGCCGGCACCACCCCAGUGGAUCCCUAAUGAGAAGUUUCCUGAACCGAGAAUGAGGCAUCCCGAAGGCAUCUGAUGCCCUGAUGAGGAGGAGAGUGGGUCGGCCUGCCUUUUGGGGGAGGUGUGGUGUGGUGGUGGGAGUCUUCCUUGCUAGACCUGGGCAAGAGGGUCUGGCUUAGUCUUGUAAUGAACUACCAGGGCUUCCAUGCCUGAGUACAAAGCAGGCAAUUGGUUAGGAGGAUGGAUCAGGAUGGUGGUGUCACUUUCCAGGCUCGCUAUGGAGAACCACAAACUCAUUCCGGGGUGGGGGUGUCUGGGCCCAUAGCAGAAUGCUCAGAGGUUUCUAGGGGGAUAAAACAGGAAUAGCCGAAUCCAUUCAGGGCGUUCCAUUACUCAGUACCUUCAGAAUUUAUAGAUUAUCCCCUAGGAGGGGUCUACGAUUAGCCCAGCUCUACCCAGUGAUUCUAAGCCGGAAGAAAGAAUGGAGAUACUGCUGGUAGACGGCCCUCAGGGAUUCCAGCACACGGAAUUGCUAUUCUAAAGACGGUGCGGCUUUGAUUUUGAAAUCCCUUUUAACCUGUGGACUUUUCCGUAUGGCAUCGAUUGUGGGGGUUCUAAUUUGAGACAGAGAAGGGAUUUCAGGAUCUCAACUCUUCAGUUCAAAAUGAUUCUCAUGUCCAAAGUGGGUGCAUACUCUUGAGC